Molecule: ribosomal RNA, 479 nt
Filed under: uncultured Anoxybacillus sp.
Lineage: Bacteria; Bacillati; Bacillota; Bacilli; Caryophanales; Anoxybacillaceae
Description: bacterial SSU rRNA
Rfam family: Bacterial small subunit ribosomal RNA
Source: RNAcentral
CUCAAAGGAAUUGACGGGGCCCGCACAAGCGUGGAGCAUGUGGUUUAAUUCGACGCAACGCGAAGAACCUUACCAGGGCUUGACAUCCCCUGACCGCGUAUGAAAGUACGUUUCACCUCGGGUGACAGGGAGACAGGUGGUGCAUGGUUGUCGUCAGCUCGUGUCGUGAGAUGUUGGGUUAAGUCCCGCAACGAGCGCAACCCUCGACCUUAGUUGCCAGCAUUCAGUUGGGCACUCUAAGGUGACUGCCGGCUAAAAGUCGAGGAAGGUGGGGAUGACGUCAAAUCAUCAUGCCCCUUAUGACCUGGGCUACACACGUGCUACAAUGGGCGGUACAAAGGGUCGCGAACCCGCGAGGGGGAGCCAAUCCCAAAAAGCCGCUCUCAGUUCGGAUUGCAGGCUGCAACUCGCCUGCAUGAAGCCGGAAUCGCUAGUAAUCGCGGAUCAGCAUGCCGCGGUCGAAUACGUUCCCGGGCCUU